Molecule: ribosomal RNA, 253 nt
Filed under: uncultured bacterium
Lineage: Bacteria
Description: partial 16S ribosomal RNA
Rfam family: Bacterial small subunit ribosomal RNA
Source: RNAcentral
UACGAAGGGGGCUAGCGUUGCUCGGAAUCACUGGGCGUAAAGGGCGCGUAGGCGGCCAUUCAAGUCGGAGGUGAAAGCCCAGGGCUCAACCCUGGAAUUGCCAUCGAUACUGUUUGGCUCGAGACCGGAAGAGGUAAGUGGAACUGCGAGUGUAGAGGUGAAAUUCGUAGAUAUUCGCAAGAACACCAGUGGCGAAGGCGGCUCACUGGCCCGGUACUGACGCUGAGGUGCGAAAGCGUGGGGAGCAAACAGG